Schistocerca nitens (vagrant locust) is the source of this 8649-nucleotide RNA transcript. It is a transcript of the gene named fibronectin type 3 and ankyrin repeat domains protein 1-like, with no coding region annotated. Lineage: Eukaryota; Metazoa; Arthropoda; Insecta; Orthoptera; Acrididae. The transcript is spliced from 6 exons. The record is from RefSeq and is a predicted model, not a curated record.
UGUAAUUCAGUCUUUGGCUGGCGAGGUAACUAUUGGAAUCGUGACGUUGUAUUUACAUUUGAUUGUGUAUAAUAUUUUCGAAUUUUAGUACAUGCAUUGCUUCUAAUGACUUUAGCCUGGAGCACAAAAAGCGUGUGGUACUAUAGAGGCGGGGUGUGCUGCUUGAAUUCGUGGAAAUUGAGGCUGCUGCAGAUGAAUAGCAAAUUGAGUUCAAUAUUUCUUUAAAGUUGGAGACUGAAAAUCUACCAAUGGAACUGGAGAAGAACACAAACAGCAAGAGGGAGGUGCCUCAAAGGAAUGCAACAGGAGAACUGAUCCUAGCUGUGAAGCGUGGGAGGGUGAAGUACGUGCAAGAACUGUUGGCAGCCGGAGCAAAGAUCACGGUGCGGGACAGGAAGGGGAACACAGCCCUGCACUGGGCGGCACAAGGGGGAAAUGAGGAGGCCGCCAGGUAUCUGCUGCAAGCCGGGGCCAAUGUGGAGGCUGUCGACAGCUGGUGGCGGCAAACGCCAUUGCACAGGGCUGCAGAGUGGGGCCACAAGGCAGUGGCGAAGAUGUUGCUGAUUGCUGGUGCUGACCCCGACAUCUGCGACGGGGAUGGGAGGACGUCACUACACUUGGCGGCUUUAGGUGGCCAUGUGGGGAUGGUGACAGUGCUGCUGGCAGCGAGUGCGGACCGGGGCAUCAAGGACUAUGGAGGGAGGAUGCCUGUAGACAUGGUCAGGGAGAAGGACAGGGAGCAGCUGUUGCCCCUACUCAGAUGUUGCGGUAUUGGCUUGAAUGUGCCCACAAGUGAACUUCUGGAGAAGAAAAUCCAGUGGUAGGCACUGGAGUACUUCUACCUCAGCAUCCUGUGUUCCUCAAGCUGCCCUACACCAGACAAGCCAGAUCCACGUGCAACACCUGCAGCAACAUGGACAUGACGUCGAAUGGAACUUUCGUAUCAGAAUAACGUCGUCCGGCCGAGUGUAUCUGGGCCUCCAGCCCAGCUGAGAUUACUUGCACUGUGGAUGAGCUUCUCAUCAGCUGGAUUGAGGCCUAUCCUGUGCUGAUAUCAGUACAGGCUUCUGAUGUGAUCACCAUCGCACAAUGCCUCCGCUUCAGUUCGGACUUCAGCCAGAGCACUGAUGGGGCCUCGGUGCCAGCUGCCUCCUCCAAAUGCACCAUCUACAAGGUGUGCCAUAGGUAUGCUACUUCCUGCCAGCCUCGUGCUCUCAGUUGUGGAACAACAUUCGUUCCUGUGGAGGUGCUUCACACCAGUGGGGCCCUAGCCCUCCAUUGUCUCAGGAGGUCACAGGUCACACCAGGUCUGGGUCACCACUGUCAGUACAUGUACUGGCUGCUAGUCCACACCAGCUGAGGUGACACUACCCACUCAGCAAGUCUGCUCCGACCAGCUGCCAUCACCAUUGCCGACAUCGCAUUCUGCUGCCAACGUGGCCGACAUUGCAGUCUACCACCGUAGUGGUUCCCGACUGCAGGCACUCACAGACUCCGAUGUAUAGAAUGUGUAGUCAAGAAAGCUGUUUAUGGUCUGAGAGCAUUCUCUGGUCUUGCUGACUCCACAGACCCAUCUUUACUCUCUCUCUCUCUCUCUCUCUCUCUCUCUCUCUCUCUCUCUCUCUCUCUCUCUCUCUCCAAGAUCACCUGCGUUCAACAUCCUGAUGGUCAGGUGGCCUUCCUGGUGUCACUGGAUGACUACGUAGUGGUCAUCAACCCAGGCAUUCUGGCAUCAGAAAUUGUGCUGGAAACCGGUGAGCAACAUCAUAAGGCAUCAAUCUAUGAUGACACUUUCUCAAGUGAGUGGCAGCGUGUGUGUUUUAUGAAUGCAUGUGGUUCUUGUAGCCUUCGUUCCUCAAGUUUGUCCUCAUUCCUGUUUCUUAUUAUUUCUGGCAUAGUUUCUGGUCGCAUCGGUGACCCAGAUGGGGGCUAACAGUUGCGGUUCACGUGUGGUCCCUUCUCUCCGAACUGGAGUCCUUCCCUUUACCACCUCUACUUGUGGACCGUUCACAUAUGCCUCCAUGGUGUACGCCUCGGCCGCAAUUUCGUCUGGACCUUUUGCAUGGCCCUAAGGACUCCGUUAACCCCACUGCUCUCCGCUGUCACUUCCUCUCAAUUCUUGACAUGUUCCGGGGCUCUGAAGUGGUUCACACUGACGGCUCAAUGGCUGAUGGUCACGUAGGCUUCACAUAUGUUCAUGGAGGACUUACUGAGCAGCACUCCUUGCCAGUUGGCUGCAGUGUUUUCACUGCAGAGCUGGCAGCCAAGUCUCAUGCUCUUGAGUACAUCCGCGAAUCAUUUCUCCUGUGUACUGACUCAUUGAGCAGCCUACAAGCUAUCAACCAGUGCUACACUCGCCACCCUCUGGUUGUGUCCAUUCCAUGGUGUUUGUGUGGACCCCAGGACAUGUCGGUAUCUCUGGCAACGAACUUGCCGACAGGCUGGCCAAACAGGCGAUGCGGAAACUACUUCUAGAGAUAGGCAUCUCCGAAGCUGACCGGCGUUCUGUCUUACACCGCAGGGUUUUCUGGCUUUGGGAGAUGGAAUGGCAUAACAGUAUGCACAACAAACUGCAUGCCAUUAAGGAGACUGUGAAUGUGUGGGAGUCUUCCCUGCAGGCCUUUUGCAGCGAAUCAGUUGUCCUAUGCCAGCUCUGCAUUGGCCAUACGUGGCUAACCCAUGGUUACCUACUCCGUCCCGAGGACCCACCUCAGUGUCGCUGUGGCUCCCAAAUGAGUCGUCCGCCUCUUGCUUGGCUGCCCACUUUUAGCCGCUCUGCGGCAGACUUUUAACUUUCUAAGCAUUUUCUAUCAAGAAUAGCUGGAAUAAAGAAUUAGACUUACUAUCCCAAUAAUAUUAUGAGAAGGAAAGUUGCUACUCACCAUAUAACGGAGAUGCUGAGUCACACAUAGGCACAACAAAAAGACUCUCACAGUUACAGCUUUCGAGCGUUAAGGCCUUCAUCAAAACACACACACACACACACACACACACACACACACACACACACACACACACCCUGGAUUUUCCAUUGUUUGACUUACUAUCCUAAUUUGCACUAAUUACAUACAGUAAUAACUUUUUAUAAUUGUGGCUAUCAGAGUACAAUUGUAUUUUUUAAAAAAAACAUAUUUUUAAUAGUUCUAAUAAAAUAAUCACCCAUUACACUCAGGAGUUACAUUUUAAAUAGACUAAAAAUAAAUUUAUGAAAAAGUGCAAAUUUAUUAUUGGUAACUUAUGUAUAUUUCCACUUAAAUUUUACAAAAGUAUCAUUCUUUAGUGAAAUAUGUAUUUUUGAAAUUUUAUAUAGAUGUGAACCCAUACUUGGGGAAUUAGUUAACAAUUAUGUGAAGUGUUGUGUAUAAUGUUUUGAAAACAUUUUGGAGAUGCACUUUUUGCAAAAUUAAAAAUUGAAAUUCUCAUUCACAUUUGAAAAAAAUUUCCAUCUGAAAUCCAUAAUGUGCUGUAAAAGCCAGGGUGAAAUAAUGACAAUAUUAUGAAAAGGAUAGAUUGCCACUCACCAUACAGUGGCGAUGGUGAGUCACAGACAGGCACAGCAAAAGUACUGCUAAACACACACACACACACACACACACACACACACACACACACACGGGAUAGGGUUGUGACAUUGCGAAACGUGUGACAGAUUAUCUGUUGAUAGCAUUAUUACCUGCAACAAAUAAAAAUAAUUUGAAAGCCAAUAGCUUCUAUCUCUACUACUAAUGUCCUUACUACGUUGCUCAAGUUUUCUCCAUUCAGUUUCUUCACAGGCAAUAGAUGUAUAGCUUUUCCUAAAAGAAGAAAGUGUGGUGUACUGAGAUACUACACAAAAAGAGUUGGCAACAGUUGGUACCAGGAGUACCAUGAACAUCUAUCCACAGCAGAAACAUCGUUGCAUUCAAACCAUUCACACUGCUGCGAUAAUCACACCGUCUGGAGCUGCAGCAUCACCAGGAAGAGAGACGUGUGCUUAAGCAACUGUGUACACACAUACGUUGUCAUUUGCAAGUUGUAAGUCAGUCCAAGUCUUGCUAGGGAGUUCCUACAGAGUGUUUGUCACGUCUUCAAGUCGUCGAGUGAGAUAUAAACAGUGGCCGAUAGGUAGAUAGUGGUUAGUCCUCACCAGAAAGAGAAUAGUGAAUAGAAUUAUCAUGCAUGGACAGAGACUGCAUGCCUAGAGAUUUAAACUGUUCUUCGAAUAGUACAUAAAGACAGAAGAUCAGUUUUCUUCCAACUUUAGUUCAGAAAACAUUAUUUAAUUUGUCUUCAUGGAACUGUUGUCAACACAAGACGGAGAGGUUAAACUCGCAUUCUAAAAUAUCUGUAACUGCGUUACCAAUGUCAAGUAAUAUUUUCACUAUUCUGCAUCACUGUCAUUGGGUGUGUGCUCCCUUAGAACCCAUGCAUCCAUCAUACCAGGACCCGUUAUUAGUCUUCUUCAGCAGCAGUGAGAUUUUCAUCAGUCUAUACCACCACCCACAACAGAAAGUAUGCUUUGAAUCAUGAAUACAUGUGCACUUUUUGCUAUAUGAGCAGUAUCCAAAGCACCUAGUAAUAUUUCUUCCUUUACAAUCUACGUAUGGCGUGAUGUGAAUCUCAUCUAGCGUAAAGGUCAUCAACAGCACAUAUGGUUUCAGACAUGAAACUUCAUCCUUCAGGUGACUUAAGAAAUUUAGAUUACUUGGCUUCUCAUUUACAUUCUAGCUAAGCUUCCUUAAUAAAUUGGGAUGAGGUAAAAUGAAAAAACCUAAUUAUUGUAAAAGCUUGUAAGGAUGUGGAGAAAUAGAAAAAAAAAUGGAACAGAGAAUCAACAUUUUGGAUCAAAUUUAAGACGAGCCAUGGACUGAUGAGACAAUGCAGUUUGUGCCUUCAGGAGUGAAACAAACCUUUUCUUACUCUCUGGGGUUGUUAAUCUUCCAAGGAGUGAGCAUCUGGCAUGUGUAAAUCACUCCGAUACUAAUUAAGUCUGCACAUAACUUCAGCACAUUUUCAACUUAACUUAAUACUCUUACUGUCUUUGUAAGUGUGUUUGCAACAAUCUCUUCGCCCUUCAUACACAGUUUAACAUGGAGGCUUCUGCAAAUUAAUACAAACUGAAGAGCCAAAGAAACUGGUACACCUGGCUAAUAUUGUGUAGAGCCCCGUGAACAUGCAGAAGUGCCACAACACAGCAUAGCAUGGACUCGACUAAUGUCUGAAGUAGUGCUGGAGGGAACUGACACCAUGAAUCCUGCAGGGCUGUCCAUAAAUCUGUAAGAGUAUGAGGCAGUGGAGACCUCUUCUGAACAGCACGUUGCAAGGCAUCCAAGAUAUGCUGAAUAAUGUUCAUGUCUGGGGAGUCUGGUAGCCAGAAAAAGUAUUUAAACGCAGAAGAGAGUUGCUGCAGCCACUCUGUAGCAAUUCUGGAUGCAUGGGGUGUCGCUUUGUCCUGCUGGAAUUGCCCAAGUGAGAAGGAAUGCACAAUGGACGUGAAUGGAUACAGGUGAUCAGACAGUAUGCUGACAUAUGUAUCACCUGCCAGAGUUGUAGCUAGAUGUAUGAGGGGUACCAUAUCACUCCAAGUGCACACGCCCCACACCAUUACAGAGCAUCCACCAGCUUUAACAGUUCCCUGCUGACAUCUAGGGUCCAUGGAUUCGUGAGGUUGUCUCCAUACCCAUACACAUCCAUCUGCACAAUACACUUUCAAACGAGACUCGUCCAACCAAGCAACAUGUUUCCAGUCAUCAACAGUCCAAUGUCAGCAUUGACGGGCCCAGGCGAGGUGUUGAGCUUUGUGUCGUGUAGUCAUCAGGGGUACACGAGUGGGUCUUCAGCUCCAAAAGCCCAUACCAAUGAUGUUUCGGUGAAUGGUUUGCACAUCGACACUUGAUGAUGGCCCAGCAUUGAAAUCUGCAGCAAUUUGCAGAAGGGUUGCACUUCUGUCAUGUUUAAUGAUUCUCUUCAGUCAUUGUUGGUCCCGUUCUUGCAGGAUCUUUCUCCAGCCGGAGCGAUGUUGGAGAUUUGAUAUUUUACCAGAUUCCUGAUAUACACAGUACACUUUUGAAAUGGAUGUACGGGAAAACGCCCACUUCAUCGCUACCCCAGAGAUGGUGUAACCCAUCACUCAUGCACCAACUUUAAAACCACGUUCAGACUCACUUAAAUCUUGAUAACCUGCCGUUAUAGCAGCAGUAACCAAUUUAACAACUGCACCAGACAUUUGUUGUCUUGUAAAGGUGUUGCUGACUGCAGAGUCGUAUUUUGCCUGUUUAUAUAUCUCUGUAUUUGAAUAUGCGUGCCUAUACCAGUUUCUUUGGCUCUUCAGUUUUUACACACACACACACCAUACGGAGUUUUUUCAAAGUUAAAUCCAGGAACUGUACAUAAUCUUUUUGCAGGACUUCUCUCCACUGUUCAUUCACUGUAUUAAUUUAACUUUUUUUCCUGAGGUUAUUAAUGUGUUUAAGAACUGGGAAAGGAAAUGAAAAGAAAAUUAUUCUGGAAACAUUUUGAAAUUAAAUACUUUCACUUACACAUUGUCUAUCAUCUUACUUCAAACACAUCUUCUAUAGCAAAGUGAGAUCCGUACAUGUCACUAACUUAAAAAAUUUUGUUAUUCAUAAUACAAAAAAUGCCAGUUAUCAUCUUUUAGGAUCAGAAUUUUUCUGAUGCUAGAUUUACAUUUCUACUUCCUGUAGAGAGUUGAAAUUAAAUAAACUGGUAGCUCUGUCACAUACAGUUUUAUGUAGCUUAUGCACUGUAGAGUUAACAUGUAUUGAAACUACUCUGAGGAAUAAAAGGCAUUUGCACAACAUGUUCAAUGAAACUGUGCACUGAUAAUAUAACCUUCGUCGUUCUACAGUACGAUCCAAAAUAAUAUCCGCACUUACAAAUUUUACGUAAUGUAUGUUGAAGCAACAACAAAGAAGCUGUAUGUUAUUAGUUUACUGAUAUUUUUUAAGUGAAAAUAAGUUUUACAAAACAUAUUAUGUCAAAAUUAAAAUGUGUUUCCACCUUAUUCCUUUUUAUGGACUUGAGCUGGAUCUCUUUUUGACUUGACAAAUUUUUCACAUGUACCACGUUCAGUUUCAUAGCAUCAGAUAUGAACAGUUUCCUCAAUUGUUUCAAUUCUACCUCUGUGCCAUUCAUACAGCAAUAUUUAGUUAGUUUCUGAGACAUAAUUGCCCACAGAUUCUUGGUGGGCUUCAUGUCGGGAGAAUUUGGGAGCUACCAUAACUUCUCAAUAGACAGAUCUGUGCAACGCACCUGAACAACCCUGAGACUGUGACUGUUAGCACUGUCAUCUUGUAAAACAAAUGGCCCUAGGUUUCUCCACUGAAAUGAUCCUUUGCAGUAUAUAAUACCUCAUUAUUAAGGAUAUCACAGUAUUUUAACCUUGUAAUUAAAUGUACACAAAUCUCAAUUCUCCAUCCUCCUUUAGUACUGUAGUGUCGCGUAAUAGUAAAGAGUUGGAAACGUGGAAUAUUGUCAAAGUUUCGUUGCCUAUGCCGAGAGCCAGAGGCAGUAGGUUAGCCAAGAGGUAAGAGGAUUGCACAUGUAUCGGAAUGUGUCAUCACCCAGGGGCAGUGGCCUGAUUACACACAACAGGCGAGAGAGAAUUGCUUAGCACACGGGUUUGUGUUAGACGGAUACUUUCGUAGAGUGUAAGACAUAGGUAUAGCGUCAGCUGUACUGCAUUUCAUAACUUCACGUAAGUCUGCCAUAACAACACAUAACUCUGUCACAAGAACACCUAAGGGGCGAGUACGACAGAUAAAUCAGCAGUAUAAGUGGAACAAAUGCGAUCAUUACAAAUGAGCAUGACAUCAGGACGUCGCUCGUGCUUCCUUUAAAUACACCAGCUUUGAUAGCAACAGGGAGCAACAGGGCACUCGCAGUUAGAUGUAUACUGGGACACUGCGUAGCGCUCAGCACGGUGAUCGACAUGUUAAUCUUUAUUAAGGAGAUGUUGCAGUAAGGGUGGCCCAUCCAGCAGCAGACGUGAGGGGACAGUACCAGCUCUGGUCCUCUCUGCUGCCGCUGUCAGUCAUCAACCCAGGAUUAGCAGACAUCAUGGCAGACUCGCUCGCCGCCAAUGCUGACCACAUGAGUGAGCCGUCGUCGAGAUCGUGCGGGACCUAGGCUCUGUGUAUCCGCUGUCACAAUUGGGUGAGCCGACGACGCUGGGGGAUUGCAGCCCGUUCUGCCCGUCCACCGCGGACAAGCCACCAGGAGGAGCAGGGAAGAAGACGGGGUGAGAUAGAGUACACUCCACACUACGAGAACGCCUCUCCUGCCGACAGCGCCGGGACUCCAACCCAGAGCUCCUACGCGCAGCGGCCUGCUAUCCGCCGCCGAGCGAGCCGGCCAGCCGGGCACCGCCAGCGACCAAAAUGGUGACCUGUGCUGAAGAAUUAUAAGAUGGUGGCUGACAAACAGAAAGGAAGCUCUAGGGAGAUAUGGCUUUGUCACCAACUUUUCCCCUUGCUGCAAUUUAAACUCAUAUGUGGUUUCAUGAGUAAAAUGUUAUAUGAUAAGCAAUUGACAAGACACACAGAUUAUUAUACUUACAAAUGCUUAUGUUUAUUUACUAUGAUAUUGUAUUUUCCCCAAUGUUGGCGUUAUGGAUGUUACAAAUUACAGAAAAGUAAAUAAAGUUUUUCA